AUAACGUUCCGUUCCACGUUG
This 21-nucleotide unclassified non-coding RNA is filed under the name Dictyostelium discoideum. Lineage: Eukaryota; Evosea; Eumycetozoa; Dictyosteliales; Dictyosteliaceae. The record is from RNAcentral.